CAAUUGAUACUCUUUUAUAUUAGAUUGAUACACUUUUAUACUGCAUUGAUACAGCAUAUAUACCACAUAAAUACACCUUUUACAGAAGAAAUCUGUGCAAGCAUAUACAAUAGUUAGACCAAAUUGAUAUAGUAUAUAUUGCACAUUCAUACGCCUUUUCAAAUGGAAGGACAGAAAUCUGUGCUUGUUUUUGUGUACAUGUAGCAUAUUCA
Molecule: long non-coding RNA, 212 nt
Filed under: Capsicum annuum
Lineage: Eukaryota; Viridiplantae; Streptophyta; Magnoliopsida; Solanales; Solanaceae
Description: long non-coding RNA (CANN_LNC019329)
Source: RNAcentral